This 763-nucleotide ribosomal RNA is filed under the name uncultured bacterium. RNAcentral describes it as "bacterial SSU rRNA". It matches the Rfam family "Bacterial small subunit ribosomal RNA", at positions 130 to 918 of the family's 1533-position model. The record is from RNAcentral.
CCAGUAGUGGGGGACAACAUUCGGAAACGGAUGCUAAUACCGCAUACGCACUACGGUGGAAAGCGGGGGAUCUUCGGACCUCGCGCUAUUGGAUGAGCCCAAGUCGGAUUAGCUUGUUGGUGAGGUAACAGCUCACCAAGGCAACGAUCCGUAGCUGGUCUGAGAGGACGAUCAGCCACACUGGGACUGAGACACGGCCCAGACUCCUACGGGAGGCAGCAGUGGGGAAUAUUGGACAAUGGGCGCAAGUGAUCCAGCCAUGCCGCGUGAGUGACGAAGGCCUUAGGGUUGUAAAACUCUUUCAGCGGGGAAGAUAAUGACGGUACCCGCAGAAGAAGCCCCGGCUAACUCCGUGCCAGCAGCCGCGGUAAUACGGAGGGGGCUAGCGUUGUUCGGAAUCACUGGGCGUAAAGCGCGCGUAGGGGAUUAGUCAGUCAGAGGUGAAAUCCCAGGGCUCAACCCUGGAACUGCCUUUGAUACUGCUAGUCUUGAGUUCGAGAGAGGUAAGUGGAAUUCCGAGUGUAGAGGUGAAAUUCGUAGAUAUUCGGAGGAACACCAGUGGCGAAGGGGCUUACUGGCUCGAUACUGACGCUGAGGUGCGAAAGUGUGGGGAGCAAACAGGAUUAGAUACCCUGGUAGUCCGCACCGUAAACGAUGAAUGCCAGUCGUCGGGUAGCAUGCUAUUCGGUGACACACCUAACGGAUUAAGCAUUCCGCCUGGGGAGUACGGUCGCAAGAUUAAAACUCAAAGGAAUUGACGGGG